RNAcentral lists this microRNA precursor (101 nucleotides) under Phlebotomus papatasi. The record is from RNAcentral. Lineage: Eukaryota; Metazoa; Arthropoda; Insecta; Diptera; Psychodidae.
UAAACACGGAUUAUGACCUGGGUUUGGAUUUAUUGAUUUAGUAUUUCACACCGUGUUUCACAAAAAUUGAAUAAAUCCAAACCCAGGCUACAAUCCGUGUU